RNAcentral lists this ribosomal RNA (716 nucleotides) under uncultured bacterium. Its description in RNAcentral is "bacterial SSU rRNA". It matches the Rfam family "Bacterial small subunit ribosomal RNA", at positions 69 to 816 of the family's 1533-position model. The record is from RNAcentral.
AGAAGCAGUAGCAAUACUGUGAGUAAAGUGGCGUACGGGUGAGUAACACGUGGAUCAUCUACCUUCUAGUGGGGAAUACCCCCGGGAAACUGGGGACAAUACCGCAUAAGCUCGUAAGAGGAAAGCAGCAAUGCGCUUGGGGAGGAGUUCGCGGCCGAUUAGUUAGUUGGCGGGGUAAUGGCCCACCAAGACGAUGAUCGGUAUCCGGCCUGAGAGGGCGCACGGACACACUGGAACUGAAACACGGUCCAGACUCCUACGGGAGGCAGCAGUGGGGAAUUUUGCGCAAUGGGGGAAACCCUGACGCAGCGACGCCGCGUGGAGGAUGAAAUCCCUUGGGAUGUAAACUCCUUUCGAUUGGGAAGAUUAUGACGGUACCAAUAGAAGAAGCCCCGGCUAACUUCGUGCCAGCAGCCGCGGUAAUACGAGGGGGGCAAGCGUUGUUCGGAAUUAUUGGGCGUAAAGGGUGCGUAGGCGGUUUGACAAGUCUUAUGUGAAAUCUAUGGGCUCAACCCAUAGUCUGCAUGAGAAACUGUUGAGCUUGGGUAUGGGAGAGGUGAGUGGAAUUUCCGGUGUAGCGGUGAAAUGCGUAGAUAUCGGAAGGAACACCUGUGGCGAAAGCGGCUCACUGGACCAUAACUGACGCUGAGGCACGAAAGCUAGGGGAGCAAACAGGAUUAGAUACCCUGGUAGUCCUAGCCCUAAACGAUGAUUGC